This 253-nucleotide ribosomal RNA is filed under the name uncultured bacterium. RNAcentral's name for it is "partial 16S ribosomal RNA". It matches the Rfam family "Bacterial small subunit ribosomal RNA", at positions 524 to 776 of the family's 1533-position model. The record is from RNAcentral.
UACGUAGGGUGCAAGCGUUGUCCGGAAUUAUUGGGCGUAAAGAGCUCGUAGGCGGUCUGUCGCGUCUGCUGUGAAAACUCGGGGCUUAACCCCGGGCCUGCAGUGGGUACGGGCAGACUAGAGUGCGGUAGGGGAGACUGGAAUUCCUGGUGUAGCGGUGAAAUGCGUAGAUAUCAGGAGGAACACCGGUGGCGAAGGCGGCUCUCUGGUCCACAACUGACGCUGAGGUGCGAAAGCUAGGGGAGCAAACGGG